Molecule: long non-coding RNA, 1277 nt
Organism: Bombus terrestris (buff-tailed bumblebee)
Lineage: Eukaryota; Metazoa; Arthropoda; Insecta; Hymenoptera; Apidae
Exons: 3
Source: RefSeq, a predicted model, not a curated record
CUACCAGGUCACGGAUAUACGAAAGAAAAGUUUAGAGUUUUCCCCUCAAGUAAUUACUUCACACUGCGACAAGUAUUGGGUUCUUCGGGGUUUUUCAAGAGGCAAAAUCUUUCGACUUGUCGAGAUUUCCGAGUAAAAGAGGAUCGACUGAGGAAAAUUCCACGUGCAGAAGCUUCGUACAAGGACGUUCAGCUUUUCAGGCAGAUAGCUUUUUAAGCUUCUUCUUGCAGCUCGUUUCGCUCAACGUACGUAAACGCCAAAGUUAAAGAGGCGGCGGACCAUGGCAAUUAUGCGUUCGACCGACGAAAAACGGAUAUGCAGGUGGUCGAAGGACGAAGUAGCAGCAAUUCUCCGAAUUGAAAUAGAAAUAUUCCAACAUUUCAAUUUAAAGGCGCAAAAAUACAAAAACACGUAUAAGCUGGAAAAAUCAUAUUUAUCAAAAUGUAGAUGAUUUUUAUCAUCCAACAUCUUCUUCCAUUGUAGCUAAUCAACAGAUGUUGCAACAGACACGCGAUACGUCCAUAAAGCGCAGCACCAAGUGGCAUAAAAAUAACAUAGCGCGGGGAUUCGCGGUUUCAGCCGCGUCGAAUUUCUCAAGCAGAAGCGCCAUUACCAGCGGCCCCCAUAAAAUAAGUUGCAGGAUCGCGGCUCCGUACGACCAAACCUCGUGGCAGCUCUAACCGAACAACCAGUUUAACCCAAGCAUAUCGCCGCAAAAGAAGGCAGACUCGCAUUGUCUCCGUGCUCUCGUUCCGGCCGUUUUCCAUCGUCCACGCACGGCUUUUGUCGACAGAUCUGCGUAGGGGUGGAACGCGUAAAAAUACGACGAACAAGGGGAGGGGACAGGCAUUGUUCCAAAAGUUAGGCUCGCCGCGUGCAGCAUGCACGAAAUCCGCAAAGAUGCAGACCACCCAGGUCGUCUGACGCCUCUGCCGUAUCCUCAACGGAAUUGACUUAGCGGAAUCCGGGGCGAGGGACGUAAGGACAGGGGACAACGAAAACGGAAAAGAGAGGGAGGAGAAGGAGGGGGCUAGGAAAGAGAGAGGGCCGGCUCGUAUGAUCACGACUCCCCACGUUGGCCAUUGCAAAGCGAAUGUGGGGCGCCUGCUCGCUUUGUCAUUCGCUACGUUUUGCUGGCUUCUUGAAAAACUACCUCGGCAUCUAUUUACUGUCGGAUGAUAAUCAGCAUGGUCCUUGGGAAUAGAAGAAUUCCAGUGAGAGAUAAGCAGCGGACGAGCACGAGACCCGAUGUCUUAGUUUUGAGAAGCGACGAGUGU